RNAcentral lists this ribosomal RNA (113 nucleotides) under Yersinia enterocolitica. Lineage: Bacteria; Pseudomonadati; Pseudomonadota; Gammaproteobacteria; Enterobacterales; Yersiniaceae. The record is from RNAcentral.
GGCGGCCAUAGCGCGGUGGUCCCACCUGACCCCAUGCCGAACUCAGAAGUGAAACGCCGUAGCGCCGAUGGUAGUGUGGGGUCUCCCCAUGCGAGAGUAGGACACUGCCAGGC